This 495-nucleotide ribosomal RNA is filed under the name uncultured bacterium. Its description in RNAcentral is "partial 16S ribosomal RNA". It matches the Rfam family "Bacterial small subunit ribosomal RNA", at positions 28 to 505 of the family's 1533-position model. The record is from RNAcentral.
GAUGAACGCUGGCGGCGUGCCUAAUACAUGCAAGUCGAGCGAACAGAUGAGGAGCUUGCUCCUCUGACGUUAGCGGCGGACGGGUGAGUAACACGUGGAUAACCUACCUAUAAGACUGGGAUAACUUCGGGAAACCGGAGCUAAUACCGGAUAAUAUAUUGAACCGCAUGGUUCAAUAGUGAAAGACGGUUUUGCUGUCACUUAUAGAUGGAUCCGCGCCGCAUUAGCUAGUUGGUAAGGUAACGGCUUACCAAGGCAACGAUGCGUAGCCGACCUGAGAGGGUGAUCGGCCACACUGGAACUGAGACACGGUCCAGACUCCUACGGGAGGCAGCAGUAGGGAAUCUGCCGCAAUGGGCGAAAGCCUGACGGAGCAACGCCGCGUGAGUGAUGAAGGUCUUCGGAUCGUAAAACUCUGUUAUUAGGGAAGAACAAAUGUGUAAGUAACUAUGCACGUCUUGACGGUACCUAAUCAGAAAGCCACGGCUAACUACG